UGGGGAAUCUUGCACAAUGGGGGCAACCCUGAUGCAGCGACGCCGCGUGAGCGAUGAAGCCCUUCGGGGCGUAAAGCUCUUUCGACCGGAACGAUAAUGACGGUACCUGGAGAAGAAGCUGCGGCUAACUACGUGCCAGCAGCCGCGGUAAUACGUAGGCAGCGAGCGUUGUUCGGAGUUACUGGGCGUAAAGAGUGCGUAGGCGGCGAGCCAAGUUUGGUGUGAAAUCUCCCGGCUUAACCGGGAGGGUGCGCCGAAAACUGGUUGGCUGGAGUAUGGGAGAGGAAAGCGGAAUUCCAGGUGUAGCGGUGAAAUGCGUAGAUAUCAGGAGGAACACCUGCGGUGUAGACAGCUUUCUGGACCAAAACUGACGCUGAGGCACGAAAGCGUGGGUAGCAAACA
Molecule: ribosomal RNA, 402 nt
Filed under: uncultured bacterium
Lineage: Bacteria
Description: bacterial SSU rRNA
Rfam family: Bacterial small subunit ribosomal RNA
Source: RNAcentral